This 546-nucleotide ribosomal RNA is filed under the name uncultured bacterium. RNAcentral's name for it is "bacterial SSU rRNA". It matches the Rfam family "Bacterial small subunit ribosomal RNA", at positions 777 to 1320 of the family's 1533-position model. The record is from RNAcentral.
AAUAGAUACCCGGGUAGUCCACGCCGUAAACGAUGAGUGCUAGGUGUCACGGGCUUUGACCCUCGUGGUGCCGCAGCUAACGCAAUAAGCACUCCGCCUGGGGAGUACGGCCGCAAGGCUAAAACUCAAAGGAAUUGACGGGGGCCCGCACAAGCGGUGGAGCAUGUGGUUUAAUUCGACGCGACGCGCAGAACCUUACCUGGGCUAGAAAACGUAGGAACCUGGGUGAAAACUCGGGGUGCUCUUCGGAGAAUCUACGGUUAGGUGUUGCAUGGCUGUCGUCAGCUCGUGUCGCGAGAUGUUGGGUUAAGUCCCGCAACGAGCGCAACCCUUGUCGUUAGUUGCCAGCAUUGAGUUGGGCACUCUAACGAGACUGCCGACUUUCAAGUCGGAGGAAGGUAGGGAUGACGUCAAGUCCUCAUGGCCCCUAUGUCCAGGGCUACACACGUGCUACAAUGGUCGGUACAAAGGGCUGCGAAACCGCGAGGUGGAGCCAAUCCCAAAAAACCGGCCUCAGUACGGAUUGGAGUCUGCAACUCGACUCCA